CGGACCGAGGGGGCACCAGGCGUAUUCCGUUUAAACGCGUGCUCUAAUGAUGAAAAGGGUGUGAUGAGAUAUAAUCAGCAAGUAGAUAAGGUAGAGCAUUGUGAUGGCAAAGCUGGGUGACCCACUUGUUAAUAACACCUGGCAGCUCGUCUCUGUUGCCUGCAUUAUCGUGUAAGGAAAUAGCACUCUACCACAAGUCUUCUGCCAAAAAUGGAAAGUAUUGGAUUAAACCAGUCUACAAAGAUCUAUCUUAUCAGGUAUUCUGUGAUGCUAAUGAAGGUUGGACUCUAAUCAUGAAAAUAGAUGGAAAUCAACAAACCUUUAGCUAUGAAAGCAAUCUGUGGGCAAACAAGAAAACAUUCCAACCAACUAAUUU
Molecule: long non-coding RNA, 376 nt
Organism: Corticium candelabrum
Lineage: Eukaryota; Metazoa; Porifera; Homoscleromorpha; Homosclerophorida; Plakinidae
Exons: 3
Source: RefSeq, a predicted model, not a curated record